Molecule: long non-coding RNA, 2667 nt
Filed under: Pelobates cultripes (western spadefoot toad)
Lineage: Eukaryota; Metazoa; Chordata; Amphibia; Anura; Pelobatidae
Source: RNAcentral
GAUUUAUUUUAUUUUGUUAAUGGUAUUUGGUAGUUGUAUGUUAACAUUACUAUAGCCUAAAACAUUCCACUGCUAUGUAAACAGACAGGCCCAUGGCUGCCUUAUAAAUAAAUAUCAAGCUAUAGGAAGGAAAAGGAACUGUUGGGCGUCACGUGACUAAGGCAGUCACAUGAUCCAUUGCAGUUAUUGUCUCACUAGGAAUGCCAUUGAUCGCGUGAUUCGUCACCGCCUAUCAGCGUUCGAAAAGAAAAAGCUCAGCGGGGAUGGGCGGAAAUGACAUACUAAUAACCGGAAGUUGGUUGCUUGCUCAGUGUUGGAGUGUAAUCAGAGAGGAUCAUGGAGUGUGAAAGUGUAUCCACAUCCAUCCGCCAGUAUGGAGCGCGCUGGAGGCUCUCAGUCUGUGCGAGGAGGCAGCCAGCAUGGCGGGUGAGGAUCUGAGUGUGAUAUUAAUCAUGUUUUAUAUUCCAGGAAUGCCCUGCCUGGUGCAGUUAGUAUGCCAUGUGCAGACAGCAAAAUAUGGAGAAUACUACAGCAGGACAAUGUGAUCUCAUCUGCCCUGUGCUGGCUGUGUGUGAGUACACUAUCAUUUAAUAAUGAAUGGCCAUCCUUCUAUUAUCUGCUGUGUGUGUGAGCACACUAUCAUUUAAUAAUGAAUGGCCAUCCUUCUAUUAUCUGCUGUGUGUGAGCACACUAUCAUUUAAUAAUGAAUGGCCAUCCUUCUAUUAUCUGCUGUGUGUGUGAGUACACUAUCAUUUAAUAAUGAAUGGCCAUCCUUCUAUUAUCUGCUGUGUGUGAGCACACUAUCAUUUAAUAAUGAAUGGCCAUCCUUCUAUUAUCUGCUGUGUGUGUGAGCACACUAUCAUUUAAUAAUGAAUGGCCAUCCUUCUAUUAUCUGCUGUGUGUGAGCACACUAUCAUUUAAUAAUGAAUGGCCAUCCUUCUAUUAUCUGCUGUGUGUGUGAGCACACUAUCAUUUAAUAAUGAAUGGCCAUCCUUCUAUUAUCUGCACACUAUCAUUUAAUAAUGAAUGGCCAUCCUUCUAUUAUCUGCUGUGUGUGAGCACACUAUCAUUUAAUAAUGAAUGGCCAUCCUUCUAUUAUCUGCUGUGUGUGUGAGCACACUAUCAUUUAAUAAUGAAUGGCCUCCUUCUAUUAUCUGCUGUGUGUGUGAGUACACUAUCAUUUAAUAAUGAAUGGACAUCCUUCUAUUAUCUGCUGUGUGUGUGUGUGAGUACACUAUCAUUUAAUAACGAAUGGCCAUCCUUUUAUUAUUGGCUGUGUGUGAGAAUACAACCAUAUAAUAAUGAAUGUUGUGUAAAGACUCCAUCACAAUUUCUUUCAGAUACUGACACAUCCACAAUGUGUUUCCGGACACUGGAUAUAACCGAAAGCUCUGCCUUGUAGUACUGACAGUCAGAAUUCAAGAUUGAUUAGUCCUGCAGCAUAUCAUUUCUACGUGCUGCCUAUCAAUAUGAAAUAAGGGGUGGGCAGUUGUCCUGGUAGACAUGGUGAGUUUGCCAGCCUUAGUUUUUCUUUAUAAAUGUAUUUUUGGCCAAACUUCUUCCAUGAUAAAAAUGAACACUCCAGGCACCAGAAGAACUUGAUCUAGAUUAAGUUGUUAUGGUGCUGCCCCCAGACGCACUCUUACCUUCAUGGGUUAAACCGUUCUCGAAUGGUUAAACACCAAAUUUUCCAUCGUCGGUCUCUGCUUCUCCGGGCAGCACCCGGCUUCUGAGAUUUCACUUACAGGAAUGGCGGAGUGCCGUUGGGCAUGGGCGCUGCUAAUUGCCUGGAAGCAGUCAGCUUCUGCUCUCAGCCAAUCCGUGACUCCCCAAUCUUCAGAAGUAAAUUUUAGAAGCCGUAUGCCACCGAAGGUGAGCUGAAACCGGUGCUGGCGGCAACUUGGGGUUAAACAGUUCAAAGGACACUAAAUGCAUUAAAACAAUUUUAACUCAAUGAAGCAGUUCUGGUAUAUAAAUCUGAAAUAUAUUGUACUCUAGUUAUUUUAAAAUCUUAAUUGUGAAUUAGACUUCUAAUGUGUUUAAGGGGUUAAAAUGAAAUGUAUGGUUGGUUAAAAAGUAAGCAUCCAGAGUAUAACAACUUAUUUUUAUUUCCCCCCUCCCAUCCUUCUACUUUUUCAUCUUCAGAAAGCAUGACCAAUGUCUGUGGAGAUAAUCAGUGAGAACUUACUGCAAUGAAGUUUGGAAAGAGUCAUUCAUUUUCUGCUUAAUGGAAAGGUAAACUUAUUUGCUUGGGUAAAUCACUGCUGUAUUUUAAUCCUUUUGAUGGCAAACAAGCAAUAGUGUAAAGGAAAAAAAAAAUCCAAAACCUAAGAGAGAAACAACUCUCCAAAUCUUGUAAACCGUUUUUACGCACCUUUUAUUCAUAUCCUUGUCUGAGAUCACCCUGAUGGACGAUCUUGGUCCAAUCCAAAGCUCCUCACAGUUGCUGUCAAUCUGAAAACCACUACAGAUGUGUUUGGGGUUUUUAAUUUAGACUGCCACUCAAAAGGGACCUGGUCUUGGCAACAAAACCAUUUCAUUAAGAGGAAGUGACUUGGUGCUCAGUGUCCAUGAAAUAAAGCAGAUUAAGAUGAUCUUCUAAAAUAAACACACUCUUUGUACUUUGUGAGCAUAAGGUUCCAAAUGAGCACAUUUUGAGACUGCAGG